CUUUUUUUUUUUUUUUCUUAAAUGAAAAGUAUAAGGGAUUUUAACCUCAUAAAGAAUAAGGAAAAUCAAUUAUGGUGAAGAAACAUUUCAUUUCUUACCGUUUAAAUAUUUCCUUCCUAAAUUGAUGGUUGAUGUAAUGUAGGCUGUAAAAAGAGAGGAGGCAGUUCCUGAAAUACCUUGGGCUCUAAAACCCAUUUUGUGAAAUAGCAAUGUAAUUUGAAUAUUUUAGGAACUGACCUCAAUGCUUAGAGCUUCCUUUGUAUGUUCUUAAACGAUGCCUUAACAUCGCAUUUACUUAUAUGUUAACAUGAAAGUUAUAAGUUGUCUUAUUGUAACGUUGACUUGUCCCUUCAGAGAAUCAGCCUUCCAUUAUGCUCAAGUAUUCAUCAACCUUCAGGGCUGGGAUGGUAUAAAAUAAUGGCAUGAGAUAUACCUAAUGCUAGAUGACGAGUUAGUGGGUGCAGCGCACCAGCAUGGCACAUGUAUACAUAUGUAACUAACCUGCACAAUGUGCACAUGUACCCUAAAACUUAAAGUAUAAUUAAAAAAAAAAAAGAAAAAGAAAAUCUAAAAAAAAAAAAAUAAUAAUAAUAAUGGCAUGACCGGGCCAGGCAUAUAAGGAUUUCCCUCCUCUCCUCAUUUUUAUUUUUAUUAUUUUGGGUACACAGUAGGUAUAUAUAUAUAUGAGGUACAUGAGAUGUUUUGAUACAGACAUGCAAUAUGAAAUAAUCACAUCAUAGAUUUCUCUUCUCUGGAAGAACUUACAACCUGUUGAGGUUUGCUAGCAAACCAAACUCUAACAAAGAACACUGUUUAUUUUUUCUUUUCUUUUCUUGAGAUAGAUAUUUUUUAUUUUAAGUUCUGGGAUACAUGUGCAGAACGUGCAGGUUUGCUAUUUGCUGCACCUAUCAACCCAUCAUCUAGGUUUUAAGCCCUGUUUUGAUUUGAAUAUUAUUCAAUACAAAUGAAGAUUGAAAUGUGGACAUUUAUGCUAAGAACAGCUUCUGGAAUUAUAGAUUUGCCUUGUAUUCUUACCAAUUGUAAGACGGAUAAACAAGCAGAAAUUCAAAAUGACAUAAUUAUAUUUCUUUGCAUCUGGAUUUUAUUCUGUUCCUGGUUCAAGUUUCAAGAUUGUCAAGAAUGACGAGUUGGACUUGGUCUAGUUACUUCCACAGCAGCAGGAGGAACAUGUGUGUGACUCAGGAUAACUGGGGAAGCCUUGGCUAGGCUUUCCUCAUGUCAACCUACCACUCAAAGGGAGAAAACCUCCUGAUCAGAGGUGCCCAGAACCCAGGUUUGGUGGGGUUGGUUGAGGGGUGAGUCUGGAGAAACUAGAAAUCUAAGGGGGUGUGUGUGUGAACAUGUUUUUUGUUUUUGUUUUUUUUUGACAGGAAAUCCAUAAUUUUUGAAUGCUGGCCGAGGUCUGUGACCUCUGACUGAAUGGUUUCCAAGCUCCGAAUUCCUAGGUGAUGUUUUCAUUUGUUCACACUUGCUGAAGAAGGGAAAGGCUCUCUGAUUUACGUGUAAGCAAAACAAUCUAAACAGUAGGAUAAAAUCAUGUUGGAAUGGAGUUCUGUGUGGAUGCUCCUUUGAACCAAAUCAGUUCCACAACUGACCCUGUCAGGGACAUAUAAAUUUAGCAUUUUGGUGUGGAUACAGAAGACGAGAUUAACACAGAUCAAGUAACAUGGAAAUAAAAAAGGAGACAAUGCUGGAUGAUACAGGGGCAGCCAACAAGAGGAGAAAACCCAAGCAUUGGCAAAUGCCUCAUUAUCCAAAGAACACUGAGGUGUGGAGCAAAACUGUGUUGAAUGAACUGUAGAUGGAAAUUCUCUCCUUCCCACCGAGGAGCCGCUGCAGGUUGCAGACUCCCAGAAUGCCACACUGAGAAGAGGAGGGCUAAAAUUCUAGAGCAGAAUCCCUGGGGCAGCCCCUGCUGAAGAAGGGUGCAUCUGUUGAGAAUCUCAUCACCGCCCCCACCCCGCCCAGCCUUCAAUUUAGAGGAAUUUCUAGUUCACGCAGAAUGAAGACAAGAUCACAUAAGUGAGGACGACGCCCCAUUUACAAGUGUGAUUUGGAAGACUGAAGUGGAAACCUUGGGAAGGGGCCUCAGAGUAUGUCAGCUGGGGUCAGACGGGAACAGGAGUCUGGCUCAACACACAUUUAUUGCACUCCUGUUUCAUGCCAAGAAAUGUACCAAAAUCUGGGACUGUGUAACACAGCAAAGGAAAAGACUCAUCUCCAGGAAGCCCCCUUGUCUAGGAAGAGAAAUUGAAUAUCAGCAUAAGGUGGUGAAAAGCUGUGAAGGAGAUGAGUGCCAGGAGUCCAUGGAGGAAGGAUUCUAGCCUGGACAGGUGAGGAAUGGCUUUCUGGAAGAAGCAGAUGCCCCAGCUGAACUUUAAAAUGCCCAUGUGAAAUGAACUGUCUGUAUCUUCAAUCAGCAAAUGGAGUAGGUGGCCACUGUUUAAUUCUGGAAUGGGGAAGUGUAAAGGUGUGGUGUGUGUGUUUACCCCUACUUAGGGAUUCAAAACAGACAGUAAAGAACAAAAGUCUAGCCCUUUGAGCAUUCUCCAUGGGACAUUUGAGGUCUAGCUGGCCCCAGAGAAAGAGAGACAGAAGCAAGGUCAUAUCCAUUUGAGAAAAUCAAAGUGUCUGCUCCAAUUGAGUCUGGUGUCCUUAUUCCUGGAAUAGCCAUCCCUACUGCUCUGGUGCUGAUUUACCUCCGGCAGUUCAGUGCUUCCUGGAAGGUGAUUGUGGUGAAUAGUCAUGAGAAUCUGGGAACUGGCUCCUGCUCUGUCUAUCUUGGAGAUGCAUCUUUUGUGAGAAGCCAGGGCAAGAAUAGGGAGGCUUAGGCAAUGGGAAGUUUCUGAGUAGAUAAAGCAGAUGGCAGAGCAAAGGGACAGAGCCUGGCGAGAGGCUACUCCCUGUAGCAACCUGCCUAAGAGUGAGAGGAAAGCAAGGCAUGGCUAUGAGCACGUGUAGUCUCAGCUACUUGGGAAGCUGAGGCUGGGGGAUCACUUGAGCCCAGGAGUUCAAGACCAGCCUAGGCAACAUAGUGAGACCAUGUCUCUUUAAAAAAAAAAAAAAAAAGAAAAA
RNAcentral lists this long non-coding RNA (3096 nucleotides) under Homo sapiens (human). Its description in RNAcentral is "long intergenic non-protein coding RNA 1206". Lineage: Eukaryota; Metazoa; Chordata; Mammalia; Primates; Hominidae. The record is from RNAcentral.